This is a non-coding RNA of Chanos chanos (milkfish), 733 nucleotides long. NCBI's taxonomy places the organism in Eukaryota, Metazoa, Chordata, Actinopteri, Gonorynchiformes, Chanidae. The record is from the annotation of a RefSeq genome assembly.
AUGAUCCUGUCACUCAUUCUACUGCUGGGAACACUGGGACUCCUCACUCAGGAAUCAUCAGGGGAAAUAAUUGUGACUCAGUCUCCACAAUCAAAGUCUGUUGUCCCAGGAGAGACCGUCUCUAUCAGCUGUACAGUCAGUCAGACUGUCUCCAGCUACCUCCACUGGUACCAGCAGAAACCUGGACAAGCUCCUAAACUCCUGAUUUAUAGCGCAACUGACCGUGAGUCUGGAGUUCCAGAUCGUUUCAGUGGGAGUGGGUCAGGCACACAGUUUACACUGAAAAUCACUGGAGUCCAGGCUGAAGAUGCAGGAGAUUAUUACUGUCAGCAGAGUCACUCAGGAACAAUGUGGACUUUUGGUGGAGGCACCAAACUGUCAGUUGGACGUGAUGCACGACCCACCCUGACGGUCCUGCCCCCCUCCAGUGAGGAGCUGAAGCAGGGGGAGGCCACGCUCAUGUGUCUGGCCAACAACGGCUUCCCCUCAGACUGGAAGCUGAGCUGGAAGGUGGAUGGUAAGAGCUGGAGUUCAGGGGUGAGCUCCAGCCCUGAGGUUCUCCAGAAGGACGGUCUGUACAGCUGGAGCAGCACCCUCACCCUCCAGGAGGAGCAGUGGACAAAGAUGUCAGUGACCUGUGAGGCCACACAGGGCUCCCAGUCUCCUGUGACCCAGACAGUGAGCAGAGACCAGUGUUCUUAGGCGUGAGAGCACACACACAUACACACGCGCG